GAACGCUAGCGGCAGGCUUAACACAUGCAAGUCGAGGGGCAGCAUGAGACGGAGAUUCGUCGAAGUCUUGAUGGCGACCGGCGCAAGGGUGCGUAACGCGUGAGCAACUUGCCCGUUUCUGGGGAAUAACCGGUGGAAACGCCGACUAAUACCCCAUAGUAUUGAGUUUAGGCAUCUUUACUCAAUUAAAGAAUUUCGGAUAAGGAUAGGCUCGCGUGACAUUAGCUAGAUGGCGGGUAACGGCCCACCAUGGCGACGAUGUCUAGGGGUUCUGAGAGGAAGGUCCCCCACACUGGAACUGAGACACGGUCCAGACUCCUACGGGAGGCAGCAGUGAGGAAUAUUGGUCAAUGGUCUGACGACUGAACCAGCCAUGCCGCGUGAAGGUCACGGCCCUAUGGGUCUUAAACUUCUUUUGUAAGGGAGCAAUAAGGCGCACGUGUGCGUCGAUGAGAGUACCUUACGAAUAAGCAUCGGCUAACUCCGUG
RNAcentral lists this ribosomal RNA (488 nucleotides) under uncultured bacterium. RNAcentral describes it as "bacterial SSU rRNA". It matches the Rfam family "Bacterial small subunit ribosomal RNA", at positions 31 to 507 of the family's 1533-position model. The record is from RNAcentral.